RNAcentral lists this ribosomal RNA (255 nucleotides) under uncultured bacterium. RNAcentral describes it as "partial 16S ribosomal RNA". It matches the Rfam family "Bacterial small subunit ribosomal RNA", at positions 524 to 776 of the family's 1533-position model. The record is from RNAcentral.
UACGAGAGGUGCAAGCGUUGUCCGGAUUUAUUGGGCGUAAAGCGUUUCUAAAGGCGCUUUUGUAAGUUAUCUUUUAAAGACCGAAGCUCAACUUCGGGAAGGGGGAUAAUACUGCAAGAGUUGAAAUAUUUCGGGGUUACUGGAACUAUUGGUGUAGGGGUGAAAUCCGUUGAUAUCAAUAGGAACUCCAAGGGCGAAGGCAGGUAACUAGGAAUUUUUUGACGCUGAUGAACGAAAGCUAGGGGAGCGAAAGGG